UACGGAGGGAGCUAGCGUUGUUCGGAAUUACUGGGCGUAAAGAGCGUGUAGGCGGCUAGAUAGGUCCGUUGUGAAAACUCGAGGCUCAACCUCGAGACGCCGGUGGAAACCAUCUAGCUAGAGUCCGGAAGAGGAGAGUGGAAUUCCUGGUGUAGCGGUGAAAUGCGCAGAUAUCAGGAAGAACACCCGUGGCGAAGGCGGCUCUCUGGUACGUGACUGACGCUGAGACGAGAAAGCGUGGGGAGCGAACAGG
RNAcentral lists this ribosomal RNA (253 nucleotides) under uncultured bacterium. Its description in RNAcentral is "partial 16S ribosomal RNA". It matches the Rfam family "Bacterial small subunit ribosomal RNA", at positions 524 to 776 of the family's 1533-position model. The record is from RNAcentral.